GGAAGGGUGGCAGAGCGGUUGAAUGCACCGGUCUUGAAAACCGGCAUGUCCGCAAGGGCAUCGUGGGUUCGAAUCCCACCCCUUCCGCCA
RNAcentral lists this transfer RNA (90 nucleotides) under Burkholderiales bacterium. RNAcentral describes it as "tRNA-Ser". It matches the Rfam family "tRNA". Rfam says of the family: Transfer RNA (tRNA) molecules are approximately 80 nucleotides in length. The record is from RNAcentral. Lineage: Bacteria; Pseudomonadati; Pseudomonadota; Betaproteobacteria; Burkholderiales. RNAcentral also lists the same sequence under 1 other name.